CAGUAGCCGCGGUAAAACGGAGGGUGCAAGCGUUAAUCGGAAUUACUGGGCGUAAAGCGUGCGUAGGCGGUUCAUUAAGUCUGUUGUGAAAGCCCCGGGCUCAACCUGGGAAUGGCAAUGGAUACUGGCGAGCUAGAGUCUUGUAGAGGGGGGUAGAAUUCCAGGUGUAGCGGUGAAAUGCGUAGAGAUCUGGAGGAAUACCGGUGGCGAAGGCGGCCCCCUGGACAAAGACUGACGCUCAGGUGCGAAAGCGUGGGGAGCAAACAGGAUUAGAUACCCGGGUAGUCCCUGUCUCUUAUAC
Molecule: ribosomal RNA, 301 nt
Filed under: uncultured bacterium
Lineage: Bacteria
Description: partial 16S ribosomal RNA
Rfam family: Bacterial small subunit ribosomal RNA
Source: RNAcentral